CCUACGGGAGGCAGCAGUGAGGAAUAUUGGUCAAUGGGCGAGAGCCUGAACCAGCCAAGUCGCGUGAGGGAGUACUGCCCUAUUGGUUGUAAACCUCUUUUGUCGGGGAGCAAAAGCCGGACGUGUCCGGCUGUGAGAGUACCCGAAGAAAAAGCAUCGGCUAACUCCGUGCCAGCAGCCGCGGUAAUACGGAGGAUGCGAGCGUUAUCCGGAUUUAUUGGGUUUAAAGGGUGCGCAGGCGGAUUUUUAAGUCAGCGGUAAAAUCGUGGGGCUCAACCCCAUCCAGCCGUUGAAACUGGGGAUCUAGAGUGUGCGAGAGGUAUGCGGAAUGCGUGGUGUAGCGGUGAAAUGCAUAGAUAUCACGCAGAACCCCGAUUGCGAAGGCAGCAUACCGGUGCACAACUGACGCUCAGGCACGAAAGCGUGGGUAUCGAACAGGAUUAGAUACCCGAGUAGUC
RNAcentral lists this ribosomal RNA (458 nucleotides) under uncultured bacterium. Its description in RNAcentral is "partial 16S ribosomal RNA". It matches the Rfam family "Bacterial small subunit ribosomal RNA", at positions 338 to 795 of the family's 1533-position model. The record is from RNAcentral.